Long non-coding RNA from Lagopus muta (rock ptarmigan), 1721 nucleotides. RefSeq lists it as uncharacterized. The transcript is spliced from 3 exons. The record is from RefSeq and is a predicted model, not a curated record. NCBI's taxonomy places the organism in Eukaryota, Metazoa, Chordata, Aves, Galliformes, Phasianidae.
AUUAGGAAGAAAUUCUUUACUGUGAGAGCGGUGAGACACUGGAACAGGUUGCCCAGUGAGGUUGGGGAUGCCCCCUUCUUGGAAGCAAUCAAGGCCAGGCUGGAUGGGGCUCUGAGCAACCUGGUCUAGUGGGAAGUGUCUCUGCCUAUAACAGGGGAUUGGAACUACAGGAUCUUAAAUGUUUCUUCAAACCCAAACCAUUCUGUGAUUCUACAAUUUACUGUGCAGGUGACAGAGUGCUGGCACAGGCUGCCCACAGAGGUUCUGAUAGGUAAGUGGCAGGGAAACAGCAGGUUCACCACAACAGGCUCACUGGGGAAAUGUGCAGUUAUGUGUAAGGGCAUCAUAGGUGACAUCUGUAGUAUUAUUUAAACUGUUGUUAAAGGCCAGAGCUUCCCUAUUGGAAUAUAGUAAAGGAUCAUUGGACUGGUCUUCUGUUUCUUCAUCCUUUGGCUGUACCUACCCUUAUUUCCAACUGUACCAUGCUCAUGAACUGGGAACUUUGGUCCUGUGAUUCAAAUAUCUCCAAGACACUUGAGGCAAUCUUUUGUUGGCCAAAUAAGUUUAUUUUGGCUUUCAACUUGGAAAUAUACUUUUUUUUCCCCCAGACGUCAUUUGUAGAGAGCACAGCACAACAAGUUUUGCCCUUGAUUUGAUCAUUUCUGGAAAAACAAACAAGCCAUGGUAUUGUAGAAACCCAGUUAACAAGUAAAUUAUGUUAGCCUGGGUCCUUUGACCAGCACAAUGGAUGCACUGUAUUUGCCAGGUUACAGAGAGGGGUGGGGAGCAGAGCUAUUUGUCCUUCAAACCUUUAGAGAGGAGGGAGUGGAGAGAUUCCAGACAUAGCAUCACCGAGUGCCUCAGCUGGGAACUCCAGUGAUAGAUGUGCUGUUCAGCUGCGUUCAGGAGAAUCGCUACCCAAGACUCCUCAGUAGCAUUAACAUUCAAAGGCAUUAAUAAAAAUAAUAUAAUAAAAAUAAUACACUUCAAGAGCUUUUUCUGUUAAUCAUUUCUCUUAAAAAAAUGCUGAAAAUUAGACCUGGGACUUAUCAGACACUACUUGGUGUAGAUCAUGUAGUUCCCACAUAUACUGUUUCAAAAGAGCUGCAGUUUGGCUAGAAGCACGCUGGUAUUUCAUGGGUCACUUAGCUGUUAACUACUCUUACGUCUGCGCAGCUGAUAAAAAAUCAGUAACUUAAAUCUUUUUUGCUGAGCCCCACAUCCCAUCAUUAUGCAAAAAGCAGAAGAACUGUGAUACAGUAAUUUCUCCACAAGCUGAAGAAGCGUAAGAAACUGCUGUUGGACUGUGCCUUAUUUGAUGGGGCUUUCUUCUCCUGCUAUAGGAACUUCUUUCAAAGUGACUCGUCACUGCUGUACAAAGGCCUCUUGAUUCAUCUGUCAAAAUGGAAGGGAAAGCUCAGUGAAUCAGGCUUGGAGGAGAAGAGGACUGUUAUCCACACUCCCCCAGAAUCCCCAGAUCUCCCUUCAGUGUUUCCCCCAGGACUGCUUAUCUUUGGGUAACUUGUAUGCAUUUUCAACCAUGACAGCUCCCACUAUAGCUUGGCAAGAACGUCCGCGGGUUUCUGAUAUGGAUUUGUCACGCUUCCUCACCUGGAGUACCAGGUGAGAAGUAUAGAUUAUUCAUUUCUAAUACAUAUCCUGCACCUAUCUGCGUUAUUGUAAAGACUCUGAGGUAAUUUCAACCUUGGAAUCCCUUAAAU